AGAACCUGAGGUAUACAGCCGAGUAAUAGUGAAGGACUUCGGGUUGUAAGCCCUUUUCGCUGGGACGAGCUGGAUUUCUGAGGAUAAGGGUUGGCUUACUCCUUGCCAGAAGCCCAGAUCCCACUU
This 126-nucleotide ribosomal RNA is filed under the name uncultured bacterium. Its description in RNAcentral is "partial 16S ribosomal DNA". The record is from RNAcentral.